This 447-nucleotide long non-coding RNA is filed under the name Brachypodium distachyon (stiff brome). RNAcentral's name for it is "long non-coding RNA (BDIS_LNC000848)". The record is from RNAcentral. Lineage: Eukaryota; Viridiplantae; Streptophyta; Magnoliopsida; Poales; Poaceae.
GGUAUCAUCAGUAACGGUCGCUCUGAUGUACAUCAUCAGUGGCGGGCGGCCUACUUGGUGACCGACAGUGAUGAGUUUUGAGCGAAAUUAAAAAAAAAGCUCAUGACCAGCAUAUUAUUAUGCUAGCAAUGCUUUCCUUUUUCUAAUUGCGUACAAAUUCUGCAGUAGAGAUAGUAGCAGCAGCACGGGAAAUUCAAGAUCAAAACGUCGAAUGCAUUCACAGCAAAAGAUAAUUAGCAAUCAAGUUGCGUGCAUUCACAGCAGAAUAGAAUUAGAAAUCAAAAAUAAAAAUUACAUGGUCGCAUCCAUUCACAACAGAGAUUACAAAAAAAAUCACGAAAGAAAAGCCGAUGUCCAUGAUCUGCUAUACACGGCGACGGGAGGCCGGAUCCGGCGGCGAUGGUCGGUGCCUGUGAGAGAGACAGUGAGAGAGAACAAGACACACAC